UAUUUUAAACCCACAUUAUUAAUAUGGGAUUACGCCCUCCCAAAGUGGUUUGCAGGCCUCCCGGCACUGCCGGACGUAUUCCGGGCAAUGCUGGACGUUGGAAGCAAUAAAGCUUUGGGGAGUAAACCCACCUGCUAGUCGUGCAGGUUUUUAAAAUUCGUUCACACGGCCAGUGUGGGGACAUC
RNAcentral lists this non-coding RNA (185 nucleotides) under Clostridiales bacterium. RNAcentral describes it as "partial 6S RNA". It matches the Rfam family "6S / SsrS RNA", at positions 30 to 187 of the family's 187-position model. Rfam says of the family: E. coli 6S RNA was the first non coding RNA to be sequenced, but its function was unknown until recently. It consists of 184 nucleotides that fold into an extended hairpin structure with a large single-stranded internal bulge. The record is from RNAcentral. Lineage: Bacteria; Bacillati; Bacillota; Clostridia; Eubacteriales.